GAAGCAACCAACAUUACAUUUCAUAGAUUACGUGGAUAGUAAAAUAUUUGGUUUCAAUUAAUCAAACAUAGUAAUCGUAUUUUCAUUUUGACAAAUUUAAAUCAGUCAUAUUGACAUUACCCCAGUUUUAGAAUUCCAUUUAGUCAAACGUAAAUAAAUUCAUUUGCAAUUAAAUGUUCAAACUUAAUCUAUAAGGUAUUCACAGAUCUGACAGUUUCCGUAUCAUGUAUCAAUUCUUCUUAAGAAUGAUCCUCUCGCACCAGCAAGUGUUCUAGAUGCAAUAUUCGCACACUCUCCAACAAUUCGGUUUUCCAAAUGUUUCCGAUCAACAAUAGGUGCACUAUAAAACUUUUUCUUAAGCACUCCUCAUACGAAAUAAUCAAAAGGCGUCAUAUCGGGACUUCUAGAGAGCCAAGAAUACACGGAACUCCUUCCUAUCCCACCUAUUUUCAUUAAUAAUAACUGCAACAACUGUAGCUCCAUUUUCAGCUGAUGUUGCUACUCUUCUUUUAUUUCUUUUAAUUGGAGGCCAUUUUUCCCGCAGUCUAUUUUCAACGUGUUUGAAAACUCACUCGGAGCCCGUUUAUUUGUAUAUUAUACGUGUAUAAAUUUGCAGCAUACGAAGCAUUUUUCAAAUAUUCUCCAUAAAUGAGAACCAUUGCUAAACAUUUUACUACAAAGUUAUACUAAACUUAAUUACAAAUUCAGCAAGGCUUGGACACUUGGCUGCGAACAGCACGUGCGAACUUUGUCCCGACGUAGACUUACCCACAAGUCUCUUGGGUACGACCGAAACUUCGGCGCCGGUGUCGACUAGAUACCGAAUUCUUGAUUUUUGGUCAGUAAUAAAAAGGCGGUUUUGCUGCGAAUCUGCUCCGUCACACAUCGCCUCCACUGCUGACGGGCCUUCUAGUUUCCCUGCUGGGAGAACUUGCAGGGUUGCCUGCAUUUCUUUGCCUUUCUCCCGAACCGGUUGUGGUAGAAGCACAAACCUUCUUCGCCGCUACGUGAUAGGCUCCUACCGCGUUCCCUCGAAUUCGAACGGUCUCUCCCGAACCGGCGCCCUCUGUCGGUGGAAAGCUGUUCCACCAAGGUCGUGAGCGCAGCUAUUUCGCGGCGCAUGGUUUGCAGCUCGGCUCUGGUGCCGUUGUGUGCGACGGCGUUAAAUGGCGUUGCUGCGGCGUCUGUAAUGGCGGCAAUGGAACCUGACGCCAUUGCAUUUGCCGAAUGGAUUUCCGUGAGCUUAUCUGCUACGCUCGCCAUCUUCUCGAGCCCGGUGCCAUUGCCGUCUCGAACUCCAGGCCUGCAUGUUGACAUUGUGACGUCACAGUAAGAGUCUAAGUGAUCAUAACCUAACUUUGUGAAUUUUUGAAAAAAAUUAAUUUUAACUAUGUUGCGCCCAACGUUUUAUGCAAGAAACGACGGAAAAGUGUAUCUAAAGAAUCCUGAUACUGCAAAUGUGGUCAACGAUCGGUCAACUAUAAUUUUUAUAGUGACAUACGUUGUGAUUUAAAGUAGCUUAUCCGUUUGUUAUUACCCGAAAAACAUAUAAUAAAGUUUAUAUUUUUUGAUAGCUUAAACCGUCUAGCCGUGCUUAAACAUCUAAAGUUACGUCCAUUAAUAGAAACAUUCUCCUUACGGGCCUAAAUUUUGAAUAACCGCGAUAUAAAGAUGACCGUUUUAUCCAAGUUUUAACACAGGUUCUUAUGGAAUGCAACAUGUUAUUAUUCGCUAUAUAUGUUUUAAAUUAGUCGUAAAAGUGUGAUCGAAAGUAUAAGAAUAUAACGAAGAAUUUUACGUAGAUCAUCGUAAGAUAAAAAAAAAUGAUAUGGGUUUUUAGGUUUUAUUUACUUAUUGUAAGUAUUUAACUUUCUUUUGUUAUUACUUGUAGUAGUAACAAUAUUUGAUUUGAUUUUUGUAUAGUUAUUAAGUAGAAUAUUAGCCCAAACAGAAAUUGAUUUAUUUAACAGUGUCUGCGAACUUUGGCCACAUUUACACUCAGGCAAAGGAAAAUUUUCUAACAAUUCGAGUACCAAAGUUCGCAGCACUGCUUUCUGCUUCGUUAUACGAAGAAAAUUCGCUUCAAAUUUUGCACAUGUAAGUACCGUGAAUACUUUGUAUGCCACUUCUCCAAUGUGGGUGGAAAAUUGGGUGGGAUAUUUUAAUCCCCCUCUGUUUAGAUGUUGAGUAUAUAUAAGUGCAUCAGCUGAACCUUCAAAAUCAUAUGUAAGAUUUGUUUUCGUAAUUAACAGCGUUACACAGCUCUUACAUUUACAACUACAUGAAACUUUAUACCCUACAUACCCCGCUAUAAAAACUAAGCUCUCCAGUGUACUAAAAGAUAUGUUAAUAUUAUUACAAUCAGAAAUAAUAUCGUCCAUGUAUGCAACUACAAACGUGUCUCUUUUAUUUAAUUCCUCAUCCUCUAUAUUAUUAAUUUCUUUUAUCAUUUCCUUUAUCUGAAUUUUAUUGGUGUUUAACCGCAACAAACUUUUAACUUUGAUUUUUUUUUCAGACUCAAGAAUUUGUUUUACAGACACGUUGUAAUUGCACCCACUAAGUUUCCGAUAUUGCCCAAAUCGACGUUCUAAUACAUCUGUUUGUAGAUUUCCUAACAAUACAUAUUUUAAAUUUAAGUUAUAUAAAAGAUAUUCACUUAACAAUAUCAAAUUACUUGUGGGACGCCUACAAUUACAAUAUCUUCCCAUUUUUUAAGCCAGGACACAAAGGCCUGCAAGAAUUGAAGACCUAGACUACAUGAACUAAUGAUUGGAUUGGCAUAAAUGUCCCGCAAGUGUUUGCCUUUGCUAGGGUGUUUUACGUUAACUACCCUCCACCAUCGAUUAACAAUGGUUAAAAAUUGUUUUGUACCUUGGUCUGUUACACCUGCUAUGGUUUUUUCAUUAAAAAUUUGUAAUGCAAGAUUAACAUUUUGUCGUUCUAAGUUGUUAGGAUAACAAACUUUAUAUGAAAGACCGGGAGCUUUUUUUACAACAGAGAAUUUUUCAGAUUCAUAUAAAUUAAUUAUGUUUGUAAAUGAGCAGCAUAUUAUAGAAGAGUGAUCUGAAAAUGAAGGAGUAAAAAAGGUUUUUGUUUUUUCAUUAAGCCAAUUAUUACGUAUAUUUUUUAACAAGUGAACUGUAUCAAAAAGUAAGUAAAUUCUUUCAUUUUCAUUAUUAGGAUUCAAUAUAUAAGGGGCCAUAUUUCCGUUAGAUAAUUUUUUAAAUAAUUUUACAUUAACUUUGUUAUUGUCGGAAGUAAUUGAUACAACUCUAAAACUGGAACUGUGAAGCAAUUGUAAAACUUUAAUAGUAGUUUCAUGCAAAUAAUCUGCAUCUAACUUUUUCACUGGAAAUAACGCUACCAUUUCUUUGUUUUUACUUAAUACAGACUUAAACAUAAAUGCUUGAAUUGUGGUAGCAGCAUCUAGAUUAUCACUGUUUUCAGCUAACCCUACAAUUUUUCCCGCUGCGUAUGUUAUUUUAGGUUUAACGUGUAUUUCGUCUAUGUAAAGAGACACCAGACGUUCAUGGUCGUUUAAAUUUUCUGACUUUUUCCUUAAAUACAUCUGUAAUGACUCAUUAAUGCCGGAACCUAAAUUACUAUUAAUAUUAAAAGUUUUGAGAUAUGUUGGAUUAGGUAAUGUGAUUACAUUUUGCUCUCUUAAAAAUUUGUAAGCAGCGGGGAAAGUAAACGAAAAUGUGCAGCAAAAUAGUAGAAAAUCUGUGGAAUAGCAAUGUUUUUCUGACUUAAGAAAAUUUAGCUGUUCAAUGAAAAAUUUUGUUUUGCUAUUUUGUUGUUCUGUCUGACCUUUUCCAACAUACUCUGUAAUUAGGCUUGAUACCGUAUCAACUACUUCCGACCGGGUUACUUCUACCUCACUUAAAUUAUCAAGAGCAUUAACUAAAUCUCGUAAUUUACUGUAUGAGUCACAUAAUAAAUUUGGUCCUAAUAGAUACUGAUAUUUUUUUGUUUGCAGUGUAACUUUUUUAAAUAUUAUUGUAACAGUUAAGUUAUGAUUAAGUACUAUAGUUUUAACAAUUUCUGGGAUUGCGUUAAAAUCAAUUUUGAAAAAAUAAA
Molecule: long non-coding RNA, 4080 nt
Organism: Tribolium castaneum (red flour beetle)
Lineage: Eukaryota; Metazoa; Arthropoda; Insecta; Coleoptera; Tenebrionidae
Exons: 2
Source: RefSeq, a predicted model, not a curated record